Molecule: ribosomal RNA, 274 nt
Filed under: uncultured bacterium
Lineage: Bacteria
Description: partial 16S ribosomal RNA
Rfam family: Bacterial small subunit ribosomal RNA
Source: RNAcentral
AUACGGAGGGUGCAAGCGUUACUCGGAAUCACUGGGCGUAAAGCGCGCGCAGGCGGCCAUUUAAGUUGGAUGUGAAAGCCUACGGCUCAACCGUAGAACUGCAUCCAAAACUAUUUGGCUAGAGUGUGGGAGAGGAAGAUGGAAUUAGUUGUGUAGGGGUAAAAUCCGUAGAGAUAACUAGGAAUACCAAAAGCGAAGGCAAUCUUCUGGAACACUACUGACGCAGAGGCGCGAAAGCGUGGGGAGCAAACGGGAUUAGAAACCCCAGUAGUCC